GGCUGACUGUUUAGCAUGUUUAAGACAAUACAAUAAUAAGCAAAACGCUAUGAAUAUCAUACCACUUGUGAUGUUAUUAAUAUUGUGCUCAUAUUUGCAUAUUAAAUAAAAUAAACACUUUUCAUGUUAAAUUAACUUGUCUUCUGUUUCAGCUGCUGUGUACAAUUAUUCGACCCCCUACAUAACAGUUCAUAAACAGUGCAUAAAUAAUUCCAUCCACAAGAC
RNAcentral lists this long non-coding RNA (225 nucleotides) under Mytilus galloprovincialis (Mediterranean mussel). The record is from RNAcentral. Lineage: Eukaryota; Metazoa; Mollusca; Bivalvia; Mytilida; Mytilidae.